UACGGAGGGUGCGAGCGUUGUCCGGAAUCAUUGGGCGUAAAGGGCGCGUAGGUGGCCCGGUCAGUUCGUGGUGAAAGCGCGGGGCUCAAACUCCCGCGUCGGCCAUGAAUACUGCUGGGCUUGAGCACUGUAGAGGCAGGCGGAAUUCCGGGUGUAGGCGGUGGAAUGCGUAGAGAUCCGGAAAGAACACCGGUGGCGAAGGCGGCCUGCUGGGCGAGCGGCUGGACACUGAGGCGCGACAGCG
RNAcentral lists this ribosomal RNA (244 nucleotides) under uncultured bacterium. Its description in RNAcentral is "partial 16S ribosomal RNA". It matches the Rfam family "Bacterial small subunit ribosomal RNA", at positions 524 to 761 of the family's 1533-position model. The record is from RNAcentral.